This 619-nucleotide long non-coding RNA is filed under the name Mus spicilegus (steppe mouse). RNAcentral's name for it is "lncRNA (ENSMSIG00000031117.1)". Lineage: Eukaryota; Metazoa; Chordata; Mammalia; Rodentia; Muridae. The record is from RNAcentral.
UGUGUAUGUGGGUUGUCUAUGUAUGUGUGUGUGUGUGUGGUGUGGUGUGUAUGUGGGCUAUCUCNNNNNNNNNNUGUGUGUGUGUGUGUGUGUGUGUGUGUGUGUGUGUGUGUGUGUGUGUGUAUUCAAGAAUUAUCAGGGACUUCUCUCCUAGGUUCCUGCUCAGCUUCUCUUCUUUCCACCACAGAGUCCAGCGAGAGGCCAUACCGUGGCAACCAUUUGAGCUGGUUCCCUGGAGGCAUUUCUCCACUUUUCAACUGUCCAUACUUCAGAGUGGAACAGUCAUGGCUGCAACACCAGGACCCAGGCAUAGGCUGCAGAACUACUUCUUGCGUAAAUGAACUAGAUAAUAGCAACUGAAAUGAAUCAGAGCCAAUGAUCAGAAGGCAGAAGGCAGAAGGCAGAAGGCAGAUGCAGUUCAACACUGGGAGAUGUUCCAAAACCAAAACUUAGGCCUAGAAGAAGAAGCUAUCAGGAUCUAAUGAAUUAGCCUGUUAAAAACAUACCAGAAGAAGCCAGCCAAUCACCUGUCAGCAGUGCUGUGGCAGACAACCACUUUUUGAGAGUAUCCUUGGUAUGUUUUUGAAAAGAAAAUGAAUCUGGGUCGUGAGAAAUCAAA